RNAcentral lists this transfer RNA (87 nucleotides) under Gammaproteobacteria bacterium. Its description in RNAcentral is "tRNA-Leu". It matches the Rfam family "tRNA". Rfam says of the family: Transfer RNA (tRNA) molecules are approximately 80 nucleotides in length. Their secondary structure includes four short double-helical elements and three loops (D, anti-codon, and T loops). Lineage: Bacteria; Pseudomonadati; Pseudomonadota; Gammaproteobacteria. The record is from RNAcentral.
GCCAGAGUGGCGGAAUUGGUAGACGCGCUAGACUCAAAAUCUGGUGGCCUUACGGCCGUGUCGGUUCGAGUCCGACCUCUCGUACCA